UACGAAGGGGGCUAGCGUUGCUCGGAAUCACUGGGCGUAAAGCGCACGUAGGCGGUUUGUUAAGUCAGGGGUGAAAUCCUGGAGCUCAACUCCAGAACUGCCUUUGAUACUGGCGAUCUCGAGUCCGGGAGAGGUGAGUGGAACUGCGAGUGUAGAGGUGAAAUUCGUAGAUAUUCGCAAGAACACCAGUGGCGAAGGCGGCUCACUGGCCCGGUACUGACGCUGAGGUGCGAAAGCGUAGGGAGCAAACAGG
This 253-nucleotide ribosomal RNA is filed under the name uncultured bacterium. Its description in RNAcentral is "partial 16S ribosomal RNA". It matches the Rfam family "Bacterial small subunit ribosomal RNA", at positions 524 to 776 of the family's 1533-position model. The record is from RNAcentral.